RNAcentral lists this ribosomal RNA (253 nucleotides) under uncultured bacterium. Its description in RNAcentral is "partial 16S ribosomal RNA". It matches the Rfam family "Bacterial small subunit ribosomal RNA", at positions 524 to 776 of the family's 1533-position model. The record is from RNAcentral.
UACGUAGGGUGCGAGCGUUGUCCGGAAUUAUUGGGCGUAAAGGGUGCGUAGGCGGUUUGGUAAGUCUGAUGUGAAAUCUAUGGGCUCAACUCAUAGUCUGCAUCGGAAACUGCCGGGCUUGAGUGUGGGAGAGGUGAGUGGAAUUCCUGGUGUAGCGGUGAAAUGCGUAGAUAUCAGGAGGAACACCUGUGGCGAAAGCGGCUCACUGGACCAUAACUGACGCUGAUGCACGAAAGCUAGGGGAGCAAACAGG